UGCGUAGGCGGAAUAUUAAGUCAGUGGUGAAAUCCUGCGGCUCAACCGUAGAACUGCCAUUGAUACUGAUAUUCUUGAAUGUAGUUGAGGUAGGCGGAAUGUGUAAUGUAGCGGUGAAAUGCUUAGAUAUUACAUAGAACACCGAUUGCGAAGGCAGCUUACUAAACUAUGAUUGACGCUGAGGCACGAAAGCGUGGGGAGCGAACAGGAUUAGAUACCCUGGUAGUCC
This 229-nucleotide ribosomal RNA is filed under the name uncultured bacterium. RNAcentral's name for it is "partial 16S ribosomal RNA". It matches the Rfam family "Bacterial small subunit ribosomal RNA", at positions 568 to 796 of the family's 1533-position model. The record is from RNAcentral.